RNAcentral lists this non-coding RNA (27 nucleotides) under Cricetulus griseus (Chinese hamster). The record is from RNAcentral. Lineage: Eukaryota; Metazoa; Chordata; Mammalia; Rodentia; Cricetidae.
GUCCAAAAAAUAGAAUGUUGUUUUCCU